Molecule: transfer RNA, 73 nt
Filed under: Felis catus (domestic cat)
Lineage: Eukaryota; Metazoa; Chordata; Mammalia; Carnivora; Felidae
Rfam family: tRNA
About the family: Transfer RNA (tRNA) molecules are approximately 80 nucleotides in length. Their secondary structure includes four short double-helical elements and three loops (D, anti-codon, and T loops). Further hydrogen bonds mediate the characteristic L-shaped molecular structure. tRNAs have two regions of fundamental functional importance: the anti-codon, which is responsible for specific mRNA codon recognition, and the 3' end, to which the tRNAs corresponding amino acid is attached (by aminoacyl-tRNA synthetases). tRNAs cope with the degeneracy of the genetic code in two manners: having more than one tRNA (with a specific anti-codon) for a particular amino acid; and 'wobble' base-pairing, i.e. permitting non-standard base-pairing at the 3rd anti-codon position.
Source: Rfam by way of RNAcentral
GCUUGGCUGGCUCAGUUGGUAGAGUGUGAGAAUUUUGAUCUCAGGGUUUUAAGUUUGAGCCUCAUGUUGGGUG